RNAcentral lists this ribosomal RNA (640 nucleotides) under Mycobacterium sp. I12A-02674. RNAcentral's name for it is "bacterial SSU rRNA". It matches the Rfam family "Bacterial small subunit ribosomal RNA", at positions 91 to 744 of the family's 1533-position model. Lineage: Bacteria; Bacillati; Actinomycetota; Actinomycetes; Mycobacteriales; Mycobacteriaceae. The record is from RNAcentral.
UCGAGUGGCGAACGGGUGAGUAACACGUGGGUGAUCUGCCCUGCACUUUGGGAUAAGCCUGGGAAACUGGGUCUAAUACCGAAUACACCUCUUGGGUUGCAUGACUCUUGGGGGAAAGCUUUUGCGGUGUGGGAUGGGCCCGCGGCCUAUCAGCUUGUUGGUGGGGUGAUGGCCUACCAAGGCGACGACGGGUAGCCGGCCUGAGAGGGUGUCCGGCCACACUGGGACUGAGAUACGGCCCAGACUCCUACGGGAGGCAGCAGUGGGGAAUAUUGCACAAUGGGCGCAAGCCUGAUGCAGCGACGCCGCGUGGGGGAUGACGGCCUUCGGGUUGUAAACCUCUUUCAGCACAGACGAAGCGCAAGUGACGGUAUGUGCAGAAGAAGCACCGGCCAACUACGUGCCAGCAGCCGCGGUAAUACGUAGGGUGCGAGCGUUGUCCGGAAUUACUGGGCGUAAAGAGCUCGUAGGUGGUUUGUCGCGUUGUUCGUGAAAACCGGGGGCUUAACCCUCGGCGUGCGGGCGAUACGGGCAGACUGGAGUACUGCAGGGGAGACUGGAAUUCCUGGUGUAGCGGUGGAAUGCGCAGAUAUCAGGAGGAACACCGGUGGCGAAGGCGGGUCUCUGGGCAGUAACUGAC